GUCGCUCACGAGGUCGCGCCUCGCACCCGCCUUCCUCCUUUUCUUUUACCCUCCCCUUCAGAAAAAACGGCGGUUGGGCUGCGACGGCCGCCAAAGGCGGACUAGAAGCGGAGGGGUGAAAAUCCCGGCAGAGAAGGAAGAAGGGACUGCAGGCGGGAGGAGGAGGAGGAUAAGGAGGAAGGGAGCCCGCCCAGCCGGAGCCAUCUCCGUCGAGAACAAAAUGGCGGCGCUGGCGGAGGGCCAACUAUAAGGCGGGGCCGCGGCCAUUCCCCCUCCACCCCCACCCUUGCGCCGGCCGGGCCGGUCAGGGGGAACCCGCUCGCUUCGCCCGGCCGCGGGCGGGGAGGGGAGGGGAGCGGCCCGGCCCACUAUGCAAAGCGCCGGGCGCCGCCGCCGCCACCCCGUGGCAAAGAAUAUGCUUUUUGUCUAAUGAUGUUAGAUAAAAAGCAAAUUUGGAGCAGUUUUCUUAUUCGAGUUCAAAAUGGUUCAUAAAGCAGCGAAGACAACUCAAAACAUCAGUAACACAUUUGGCCCAGGAACUGCUAACAAACAUACAGUGCAGUGGUGGCUUAAGAAGUUUUGCAAGGAAGAGAGCCUUGAAGAUGAGGAACGUGAUAUGGGCCAUGGGAAGUUGACAACGACCAAUUGAGAGCAAUCAUUGAACUACAUGAAAAAUUACAGAAGAACUCAGCGUUGACUAUUCUACGGUCAUUAGGGUCGUUCAGCAUUCGAAGCAAAUUGGAAAGGUGAAAAAGCUUGAUAAGUGGGUGCCUCAUGAGCUGAGCGGAAAUCAAAACUAUCGUUUUGAAGUGUAGUCUUCUUUUAUGCUACGCAACAACAAACCAUUUCUCAAUCGGAUUGUGACAUGUAAUGAAAAGUGAAUUUUAUACAACAACCAGCUCAGUGGUUGGACCAAGAGGCAGCUCCAAAGCAGUUCCCAAAGCCAAACUUGCACCAAAAAAAAGGUCAUGGUCACUGUUCGGUGGUCUGCUGCCCAUCUGAUCCACUACAGUUUUCUGAAUCCUGGUGAAACCAUUACAUCUGAGAAGUAUGCUCAGCAAAUUGGUAAGAUGCACCGAAAACUGCAAUACCUGCUGCCUGCAUUGGUCAACAGAAAGGGCCCAAUUCUUCUCCACGACAACACCUGACUGCGUGUCGCACAACCAGUGCUUCAAAAGUUGAAGGAAUUGGGCUACAAAGUUUUGCCUCAUCCACCAUAUUCACCUGACCUUUCGCCAACUGACUACCACUUCUGCUAGCAUCUUGACAACUUUUUGCAGGGAAAACACUUCAGCAUGGUGCAGAAAAUGCUUUCCAAGAGUUCGUCAAAUCCUGAAGCACGGAUUUUUAUGCUACAGGAAUAAACAAACAUUUCUCAUUGGCAAAAAUGUGUUGAUUGUAAUGGUUCCUGUUUUGAUUAAUAGAAUAUGUUUUAGCGUAGUUACAAUGAUUUAAAAUUCGCAGUCUGGAAAUUUAAUUUUUGCAUCAACCUAAUAUUUCUAUGGUAAAUCCUUGCAAACAUGGAAACAAUGCAUUUGGCCCAGUGCUUUGUGGUUGUGUACUCUUUUUCUUUGUUUUUUUAAUAGAUGGCAUUGGCCGGGCAUGGUGGCUCAUGCCUGUAAUCCCAGCAUUUUGGGAAGGUGAGGUGGGUGGAUCACCUGAGGUCAGGAGUUCAAGACCAGCCUGACUAACAUGGUAAAACCCCAUCUCUACUAAAAAUACAAAAAAAUUAGCUAGGCGGGGUGGCGGGCAUCUAAUUCCAGCUACUUCAUGAGGCUGCGACAGGAGAAUCAUUUGAACUCGGGAGGCAGAGGUUGCAGUGAGCCGAGAUCACACCAUUGCACUCCAGCCUGGGCGAUGAGCGAAACUGUCUCAAAAAAAAAAAAAGUUGGGGUCUCGCUGUGUUGACCAGGCUGGUCUCGAACUCCUGGCCUCAAGUGAUCCUCCCAUCUUGGCCUCCCAAAGUGUUAGGAUUACAGGCGUGAGCCACCACACCCUGCCUGGUUGUGUACUCUUUUAAAUACUAAGUUUUUAAUGUUAAAUGCUGCUUUUAGAUACACUGUAAAAAUACACCUAUCAAUGAGUUUUUUUAUUAAAAACAUUGCAAUUGUACUAGACUUUAAAUACUAAGCAAUAAUUCAGGCUUCAAUGUUGGUUUAUAGUUUUCUCAUUUCUUUCAUUUAAUACCUCUGUAAAAUGAAGCAGUUACUUCCAUUUUCCUGAGGUGAGAUAAGUGCCCUGCACAAUGUUAUAGGCCCAGUAAGUGAGACUGGAGCUCUGAUCUAAUCCCUUUGACAUUAAAGUUUGUGCAGUAAACCAGCUAUGUCAGUUUGCCACAUUUGUAAUAGUGUUCAAUAAAUUUUCACUUAAAGGUUUAAUAUUAAAGUAGUAGCAAGAAUUCAUAACCUUAAUUGGCUUUAACAGCUUUUCUUUCCCUGAAAACAGAUGCAUAUGUACACAUGCACACAGAUUGCUUACAAUAUCAGCACGUAAAAGGCCUUUGCACAUUGAAGUCGGCACUGCUUUGGUGCCUUUUUUGUUUUUUGGCUCGGUGUUUUGACUGCAAGUCUUUUUGGAUAGAAUUUUAUAGUUAGAAAGUAGCUAACACUUGGGUUUUAUAGGCACAAAAAACAAGUCUUAUACUAGCUGUACUUUAUUUUUUGAGUUCUUAUUAAUGAGGAACAUCCACUUUUGCAUUGACAGUGAUUUCAAGAUUGCUUUAUCAGCCUUUAAAGGAUUCUUGACUAGUCGUGCACAUCAGAACUGCCAGGUCCCCAGUGGUUCUGAAGCAGUAAGCUUUGGGUGGGCUCUGGCAUCAGCACUUUCACUAAGCUUCACAGAUAAUUCUGAUGCAUACUCCAGGCCUGAACCACUGAUCAAUUUGAAACAUGCAUAACAAAGCAAAAAAAGUUUUGUUUCACCUUUUGAAAUACAGUUAACUCUUUUACCAUGCCAGAGAUCAUUCAGAGAGACAGGUCGUUGCUCCGGAGUGAUACAGAUCUGGCAGUACCCAGCCCUUGUGUGUGUGCGUUAGCUCAGCACCUGCCCACACUGCGAGCCCCCGUAGGAUGUGCCUUGUCCUUCCCUGUUUCAGCACUUAACACACUACCUGGUACAGAGUAUGUAGUGGGCAUCUGUUGAAUGAAUGCUUUUCCCAGUAGCAGUGUAUUCAUACAAUAUUAAUAUAAUUGUCCCCUGGCUUACAGAUAAAAAUGAAAGCAUCAAGUGCCCAGUGAGUGAGACCCAGGUGUUCUUCCUCCACCCCUAGUGGUCCCCUGGGCAGGUCUUUUUUUUUUUGUAACACUCACCAGUCUGUUCUGUAGUCAAUCAUUGAUUGACUUGUCUGUGAACUUGGAGGAACUGUUUCAUAGUUUCAUUAGCACAGAGUAAACAUGUUUGCCAUGCAAGGUUAUUUUGCAUCUGCAUUUAAGUGAUAAUGUUGAAUCAAUGAAAAGUGUUGAUUAAGCAGUAGUUGUAGAUAUGCUAAGUUUUUCAAAUUACUAAUAUCAAGUGGAGAUUGUUUUUACUUUUAAGGGUAUUGCUUUUGUGAUAGCAUAAAUAAUGGUUUUCCUUUUUUGUAAUGUAAAUUAAUUGCUGGCAACUUUUGUAUUCCCAUAGACUGGGGAAGCUUAAUUGCCUUUACAAGUACUUAUGUACAACUUUGUAUCAAAUUUUCUGUAAUAGUUUAUGCUUUAGUACUAUAUAUGUACUAAUAAUUUUAUCUGACUUCUGUUUAUAUCAUUUGUACAAUUACAUGGUUGUAAAAUAAA
This 3770-nucleotide long non-coding RNA is filed under the name Homo sapiens (human). RNAcentral describes it as "FGD5 antisense RNA 1". The record is from RNAcentral. Lineage: Eukaryota; Metazoa; Chordata; Mammalia; Primates; Hominidae.